RNAcentral lists this ribosomal RNA (710 nucleotides) under Roseovarius sp. RNAcentral's name for it is "bacterial SSU rRNA". It matches the Rfam family "Bacterial small subunit ribosomal RNA", at positions 35 to 794 of the family's 1533-position model. Lineage: Bacteria; Pseudomonadati; Pseudomonadota; Alphaproteobacteria; Rhodobacterales; Roseobacteraceae. The record is from RNAcentral.
GCCAGGGGGGCAGCUACACAUGCAGUCGAGCGAGAACUUCGGUUCUAGCGGCGGACGGGUUAGUAACGCGUGGGAACGUGCCCUUCACUACGGAAUAGUCCCGGGAAACUGGGUUUAAUACCGUAUACGCCCUUCGGGGGAAAGAAUUUCGGUGAAGGAUCGGCCCGCGUUAGAUUAGAUAGUUGGUGGGGUAACGGCCUACCAAGUCUACGAUCUAUAGCUGGUUUUAGAGGAUGAUCAGCAACACUGGGACUGAGACACGGCCCAGACUCCUACGGGAGGCAGCAGUGGGGAAUCUUAGACAAUGGGCGCAAGCCUGAUCUAGCCAUGCCGCGUGAGUGAUGAAGGCCUUAGGGUCGUAAAGCUCUUUCGCCAGGGAUGAUAAUGACAGUACCUGGUAAAGAAACCCCGGCUAACUCCGUGCCAGCAGCCGCGGUAAUACGGAGGGGGUUAGCGUUGUUCGGAAUUACUGGGCGUAAAGCGCGCGUAGGCGGAUUGGAAAGUUGGGGGUGAAAUCCCAGGGCUCAACCCUGGAACUGCCUCCAAAACUAUCAGUCUAGAGUUCGAGAGAGGUGAGUGGAACUCCGAGUGUAGAGGUGAAAUUCGUAGAUAUUCGGAAGAACACCAGUGGCGAAGGCGGCUCACUGGCUCGAUACUGACGCUGAGGUGCGAAAGUGUGGGGAGCAAACAGGAUUAGAUACCCUGGUAGU